CUCUGCUGGAUUGCAGCGCCGGCUGGGCACCAGGAGUACAAAGCGAAAACCCCCGCCGGCCCUUCUGUUCUCCACGGUCUCCAAGGAGACACGGACAACAGAACAACACUUCCGUGUGCUAAAUAGUAAAGCACCAAGGUACUCGAUCCAGGGGCGGCGUGCAGUGGGGAGGUGAGCUUUGGGUCGGCCGUCGCCCCUCGGCUACCGGCGGGAUCCAGAAACCGGGAGUCACCACCAAUAC
Molecule: long non-coding RNA, 241 nt
Filed under: Homo sapiens (human)
Lineage: Eukaryota; Metazoa; Chordata; Mammalia; Primates; Hominidae
Description: long non-coding RNA NONHSAT155151.1
Source: RNAcentral